This is a long non-coding RNA of Notolabrus celidotus (New Zealand spotty), 2484 nucleotides long. RefSeq lists it as uncharacterized. NCBI's taxonomy places the organism in Eukaryota, Metazoa, Chordata, Actinopteri, Labriformes, Labridae. The transcript is spliced from 4 exons. The record is from RefSeq and is a predicted model, not a curated record.
CACGUCACAGGGGAGACGUUUCACCUGUGUUUUAUUGGUCCCACCUGUGUCUAAAUACCCUGUGUGUUUUAAGUCUCUGUGUUUCUUCUCUUCUGUGCCUUUCCAUUUCAUCUCAACAGACCUACCUGUGUUCUUUGUGGAUUAUAAUUUUGGCUCUUCCAGAGUUUUUUCCUUUGCUGGACUUUGGGAUUUGUUCCUUCAAAUUUUGUGUCUUCACCCCGUGGACUCUGUUAAAUGAUAUGGAUUCUUGAGUGGAGUACAGUGGCAGCAAACAAAGCAGAGCGGCCUUGAGUCCUUGCUGAGACCCUUUGUCCAGUAAUCAGCAGAGAUGUGGAAAGGUUGUUGAUCCUAAUGCAGUACGGCAGAGUCUUCCGACAUGCUGCUGAUGGACUGUUUGCUUGGACGGUCGUCCUGCGAUUGAGAGGUGAUGAUGGCCAGAGGGAAGUUGUCAGUCAGAGUUGGACGGUUCUGCCGGUGCUAACAGAUGCUGCCAGCGGUAUAUUGACACAGCAUCUCACUUACCCAGCGGUCGACGCAGCUAUUCAGGAGGCCUGUCUGAUCCUAGAGACGUCAGCCUUCCUAAUAAUAAUCACAUCCUGAGGAAGAUGGAGGACGCCAGGGUGUGAUGGCAUGCCUGCCGCUGUCACAGCGUGGGACAGAAUGAGGUAAUCUGGACUCAUGGGAACUCCUCCCUGUAGUGUUUGGCAGGAACUAUAAAUAGGCAGUGUCACAGAAUGAUUGAGGUCUAUAUUUUGUCUUUUCAGCUCAUAUUUAAACUGCUUUAAUUUCUAUCCCGGCAUAACCGUGGGUAUCUGCCAACUUUUGCAUCUUUGACGUCAAUAUUUGGUUUUGUCUUAUGACUAUAAAUGGCCAAUUUGGUGUGUGUCAAGGCUCUUGAAAUUCAUACAUUAUGCUCUCUCACAUCCACUACACCCAGGCUGGGACACAAACUAUAUAGUUUUGGGUGCUGCUAAUAACUAUGUUUGACAGAAGAAGACAUUUGUCUAGUUUUGUAACAAGUGAGCCAGCCAAGACCUCGACCAGUAAAUUGCACGGUGGAUAGAUUUACUCUCUAAGCUCUCUGGAAGCUGUAUCCUCCAAUCCAUUCAGCAUUUCCCAUUGUUUUGGAGAUAUUAAAUAAGGCACAGAUAUUUAAACAGAGAAAAAAAAUCUCUUUGAAAUUUCAAGGUCCAUGGAAAAUUAAGAUUCAAACAUCAGACACACAAAGGCCUUCACUGGCAGAAAGUACUUAGAUUUUUCAUCCAAACAUCUGUUAAUAUUAACCUUGGUGAAAGUUUUGGCUGCACAUUUAGCUAUUGUUAUUUCUUUUUUAGAGAGGUUAUAAUGAUCUGUGCAAAUAAUUGCUAUGUGCCCAGCAAAAAUUAAUGGCAUUGUUAAAGCAACGAUUAAACACCUCAGAGAAAAUCCCCCACUAUGGUUAGGAAUUAAUCUGAGUUUUAUGGUUUUCUUACAGGAAUGUGUGAGGCAAACAGAGAGAAUGUAUGAAAACAGGCCUUUGCACUGCCACAACUUGCCCACACUUUAAUCCACACACUUAAGAAACAAUAACCUUUAAACUGCCUCCAAACCAUCUGUGCUAAUAAUGCCCACUCUAGCAAAUGGAUAGAAAGGCAAUUGGAAGUGCUUUAUAUGAGGCGUAAAACCUUGUAACAGCAUGUAGAGUAUUUCGAUCAUACGCGUGACUCUCUUUAUAAGUGAUUAACAAAUAUUUUCAUUUCAUGUUUCAGCUGUGGGAAUAAACUGGUUUCCCUUUAUGUAUUUAUGGAUUAGUCGAGAAUAAUUCCUUCAUCCUCAGAAGGCUACAUGAUUUAUGAUCAAUAGGUUUCUUUGGAUAUUUUGAACCUUACAUUGGCAUUCGUGCAAAAAAUAAAGUUUUAAACUGAGAUAUUUUCAAUACGACACUUUCCUUCCACAAAAUGUAGUUUUAACCACGAGUAAGAGUUGAUACUCAGUUUUUCUGCCUUGUUUGCAUAGUGAGAAAGAAAAAAAGAAAACAUGCUCUUCUGCAGUACCCUUGCUGAUCUAGUGAUGGCAGCCUGGCUCCAUUCAAACUGGUACACUUAAACUGCUCAACAAGUUUUUAAAUGGGCCUCUGUCCCAGCAUGUUCAGUCCAGGAAAAGGAGAAUUACAAUAAGUUAUUAAGAUGUAUUGACACCAGAUGUGCCCUGCCCCUAUUCUCAAAAAAGAGCACAAAGGUUCCAGCACUAAUUGGCCAUCUGACCAGCCAACACGGUUCACAAGCAGGCAAUUAACACAUGCACAUAUGAAUACAUUCAUAAAUGCACAUGUGUAUUUCUUUGGCUUUGCUGGUUUGACAAACACACUUGAAUUUCACAGAUCAGCUACCAUGCGUGAUAACUUUAAUUAUGCAGGAGUGACUGCAAUGCAAAUAUCCUUAAUGCAACAAGAGUGAGCUGGCCAGGCCAGCUCACUUCGUUAGAAUAGAGUUUCCAAGGAACUUG